UACGUAGGCAGCAAGCGUUGUUCGGAGUUACUGGGCGUAAAGAGUGUGUAGGCGGUUCUCUAAGUUCGGUGUGAAAUCUCCCGGCUCAACUGGGAGGGUGCGCCGGAAACUGGAGGGCUUGAGUAUGGGAGAGGAAAGCGGAAUUCCUGGUGUAGCGGUGAAAUGCGUAGAUAUCAGGAGGAACACCUGCGGUGUAGACAGCUUUCUGGACCAUCGCUGACGCUGAGGCGCGAAAGCUAGGGGAGCAAACAGG
RNAcentral lists this ribosomal RNA (253 nucleotides) under uncultured bacterium. RNAcentral's name for it is "partial 16S ribosomal RNA". It matches the Rfam family "Bacterial small subunit ribosomal RNA", at positions 524 to 776 of the family's 1533-position model. The record is from RNAcentral.